CCUACGGGGUGCAGCAGUGGGGAAUAUUGCACAAUGGGCGCAAGCCUGAUGCAGCCAUGCCGCGUGUGUGAAGAAGGUCUUCGGAUUGUAAAGCACUCUCGACGGGGACGAUGAUGACGGUACCCGUAGAAGAAGCCCCGGCUGACUUCGUGCCAGCAGCCGCGGUAAUACGAAGGGGGCUAGCGUUGCUCGGAAUGACUGGGCGUAAAGGGCGCGUAGGCGGUUUAUGCAGUCAGAUGUGAAAUCCCCGGGCUUAACCUGGGAACUGCAUUUGAGACGCAUAGACUAGAGGUCGAGAGAGGGUUGUGGAAUUCCCAGUGUAGAGGUGAAAUUCGUAGAUAUUCGGAGGAACACCAGUGGCGAAGGCGGCUUACUGGUCUGCAACUGACGCCGAGGCGCGAAAGCGUGGGGAGCAAACAGGAUUAGAUACCCCGGUAGUC
RNAcentral lists this ribosomal RNA (440 nucleotides) under uncultured bacterium. Its description in RNAcentral is "bacterial SSU rRNA". It matches the Rfam family "Bacterial small subunit ribosomal RNA", at positions 338 to 795 of the family's 1533-position model. The record is from RNAcentral.